AUUCUGGUUGAUCCUGGCGGAGGUUACUGCUAUUGGAAUCCGAUUAAGCCAUGCGAGUCGAUCGGGUCAGACCCGAGGCGCACUGCUCAGUAACACGUGGAGAAUCUGCCCUUAGGUGAGGAAUAACCUCGGGAAACUGAGAAUAAUACCUCAUAGGUUAUGGAUGCUGGAAUGCUUCAUAGCCCAAAGCCCCGGCGCCUAAGGAUGACUCUGCGGACUAUCAGGUAGUAGUCAGGGUAACGACCUGACUAGCCUACGACGGAUACGGGGUGUGAGAGCACUAGCCCGGAGAUGGAUUCUGAGACACGAAUCCAGGCCCUACGGGGUGCAGCAGGCGCGAAACUUCCGCAAUGCUCGACAGAGUGACGGAGGGAUUCCAAGUGCCUAUGCUAUGCGUAGGCUGUUUUUAUGUCUAAAUAACAUGGAGAGUAANAGCUGGGUAA
RNAcentral lists this ribosomal RNA (443 nucleotides) under uncultured archaeon. RNAcentral's name for it is "bacterial SSU rRNA". It matches the Rfam family "Archaeal small subunit ribosomal RNA", at positions 1 to 449 of the family's 1478-position model. The record is from RNAcentral.